AUGUUCUUGGUGAAUUUAUGCUUUAAAGCAGCCGAACUAUUUUAUGGUGGUAUCACAUUAAUGUUCCAUUUGAGUGAAGCUUACCAUAAACGCAAACCCACAACUUCUCAUGACUGCUUCUGUUUAAGGGACCACGAAUUGUCAAACGUGGCUUUAAGUCUAAAGUCAUAUGCCAAAAAGCCUGACUACCCUUCAAAUAGUAACUUCGAAUACAAUCUGGCGCUUAAAAGACAACUAAAAAAUUGUAAAAGUAACAUUUCUCUUUUUUAUAUAUAUUUAUAUUUGAAACAUGACUUAAUAUAUUAG
Non-coding RNA from Vicia faba (fava bean), 306 nucleotides. The record is from the annotation of a GenBank genome assembly. NCBI's taxonomy places the organism in Eukaryota, Viridiplantae, Streptophyta, Magnoliopsida, Fabales, Fabaceae.